GUUCUACUCCAGGUUUUAUUGCGAUCAGAGGCGGCUGAAUUCAAGACAGAUAAAUGACGUGGCAUUGAAAGUAACAGGAGCACAUAAGCAAGGUACUCGAUGUUCAACUCUGCCGCCGACGACUUUAUGGAAGAACGGAAACCAAAACGACACGUUGGACUCGACGUUGUCGAAUAAAUUCUGGUGGUCGCACAAGAGAACAUGUAGUUCGAGUUCCAGCUCGACAACAGAGAGGAAGGAACUGGAUGCGAGGAAAAGGGAUAUCGAGCGGGGAAAUUACGCAGGUGUUGACGUUGCGAGUAACCGGCGAGUUGAACCGGUGGUUUUCUUUGAAGAAAGCGAGCCUAAAGAGUGGGUGGGUCAGGUUGAGCCGGUCGUGUUAACUUCAUUGGAGAAACAUAACUAAUCACGAAAUUCCGUCAACUUUUGAUUGAAUUUCCUCCUCGAUUUGAUUUUGCAUCUGUAAUUUUAACUCGAAUGGGAGCAAAUAUUUCAAAAAGUUGUCUUAUAGCUUAAUGAACAUAUUUGAUCGUAAA
Nicotiana tabacum (common tobacco) is the source of this 536-nucleotide long non-coding RNA. RefSeq lists it as uncharacterized. Lineage: Eukaryota; Viridiplantae; Streptophyta; Magnoliopsida; Solanales; Solanaceae. The record is from RefSeq and is a predicted model, not a curated record.